GAUGAACGCUGGCGGCGUGCCUAAUACAUGCAAGUCGAGCGAACAGACGAGGAGCUUUCUCCUCUGCCGUUAGCGGCGGACGGGUGAGUAACACGUGGAUAACCUACCUAUAAGACUGGGAUAACUUCGGGAACCCGGAGCUCAUACCGGAUAAUAUAUUGAACCGCAUGGUUCAAUAGUGAACGACGGUUUUGCUGUCACUUAUAGAUGGAUCCGCGCCGCAUUAGCUAGUUGGUAAGGUAACGGCUUACCAAGGCAACGAUGCGUAGCCGACCUGAGAGGGUGAUCGGCCACACUGGAACUGAGACACGGUCCAGACUCCUACGGGAGGCAGCAGUAGGGAAUCUUCCGCAAUGGGCGAAAGCCUGACGGAGCAACGCCGCGUGAGUGAUGAAGGUCUUCGGAUCGUAAAACUCUGUUAUUAGGGAAGAACAAAUGUGUAAGUAACUAUGCACGUCUUGACGGUACCUAAUCAGAAAGCCACGGCUAACUACGUG
Molecule: ribosomal RNA, 497 nt
Filed under: uncultured bacterium
Lineage: Bacteria
Description: partial 16S ribosomal RNA
Rfam family: Bacterial small subunit ribosomal RNA
Source: RNAcentral